RNAcentral lists this ribosomal RNA (366 nucleotides) under uncultured eukaryote. RNAcentral describes it as "partial 18S ribosomal RNA". It matches the Rfam family "Eukaryotic small subunit ribosomal RNA", at positions 592 to 976 of the family's 1831-position model. The record is from RNAcentral.
CAAUAGCGUAUAUUAACGUUGUUGCAGUUAAAAAGCUCGUAGUUGGAUUUCUGGAGGGAGCGUCGGCCCGUAUUUACGAGUGCGUGACGUCUCUGUCCAUCCUUGCGGGAAGGCACGGCAUUGAUUUGUUGUGUCGGAUCGCAUCAUUUACUGUGAAAAAAUUGGAGUGUUCAAAGCAGGCUUUCGCUUGAAUACAUUAGCAUGGAAUAAUAAGAUAGGACUUUGGUGCUAUUUUGUUGGUUGAGCCUAAAGUAAUGAUUAAUAGGGAUAGUUGGGGGCACCUGUAUUGCGUUGUCAGAGGUGAAAUUCUUGGAUUUACGCAAGACAAACAGCUGCGAAAGCGUCUGCCAAGGAUGUUUUCAUUAA